Molecule: long non-coding RNA, 5064 nt
Organism: Astatotilapia calliptera (eastern happy)
Lineage: Eukaryota; Metazoa; Chordata; Actinopteri; Cichliformes; Cichlidae
Source: Ensembl
AUAUAUAUAUAUAUAUAUAUAUAUAUAUAUAUAUAUAUAUAUAUAUAUAUGUAUAUAUAUGUAUAAUGUGAAAACACGGCUUCACAUCUGAGAGUGUAAAGGAAAGACUUGAAAUCUUCAGAAACCCAUCUGAGGAUAGUUUAAUGGGACUUUACCAAAUUAAGAAAAUUGCUGUGUCUCCGACUUGCAGACCACAACGACUCUGCCUUCAAAUUGUGUGUGUGUGUAUAUAUAUAUAUAUGUGUGUGUGCCCUACGUGCAGCUGCUUCAAGUGUUGCUCAAGCAGAGAGGGAAAGAGCAACUCAGGCCAGUUUACAGUGGGUGAGAAAGACAGGAGUGAGGAGGGGAAUGAGAGAAAAGAGAAUUGAAGGCCAACUGAAGGGAAGCAGAGGCAGGGUUUGUGGCUUGUAAAAAUGAAACUGGAGGAAAGUGGGUUAGAAAAAUAAGCAACAGAAGAGAGCACUGGUCAAAGAGAUGAUGCACAGGACAUCGAGGGCAGGGAGAAAGGCAGCGCUAGAGACAGAGAGAAAAGAGAAAGAGUGAAGACUGGCCAGAGAUUUAAAUAGCUGAUGGGUUUUCCUGCUGAUUUUGGUGUUGUUAUUGUGUAACAGCAGCGGAAGUGUUUGGUUUGUGUGUCCAGUGCUGCUUUACCAGGACAGAGCUGCUUAGAUCUGUUUACAAAAUCCUUUGCUCAGCUUCACUGCAUGUGUGUGUGUGUGUGUGUAGGUGAGUAAUACGUGCAGCACCUGCUCUUUAAGUGUUUCCUGAGAACAUAACUCCUGACUCCCGAGCAGCGUGAUUAGACUGUACCAUGUUACAAGCUGCAUGCUAUUAAAAGCCAACAUAUGGAGACUUCUGCCUUGUUCGGGUGGCAGCAUUUUUCUUUUUUCUUUUGUGUCCUGACACGUUUAUGUUUUUUGUUUUUGUUUGAUUAUUUUGUUGGUUUUGGAAACGAUUUUAAACGAACUUGUGACAAUACUUGAGAGUCACAAUGACACAUAGUGAUUAGGCAUAUGAUUGAAAAAUGCCUAGGUUUAGAGCUGUGAGCUAUGAGCUGUGAGCAAUGCAAAGUUAAAUAUAUAUAUAUUUGUAUAAAUGGGAAACAACCGUAACUUGAAAGUUUGAAAUGUGUGAGAUCCAUGCAUUGUUUGAAGAACUAGAAAUAAUCUAAAACUGCCUUAAGUGAAAAUGUAGAGUUGCAUCUAUUCUCCCAUACAAAAAAAAAAAAAAAAAAAAAGGAGAAGCAUUCUGUAACUUAAAAAUAAGGCUGACUGUUGACAACAGACUAAAACACUAAUUCGCAGGUGGCUAUCAGGAACAGAGAGGCGAGCAAAGUCACAAACACCAAGGCUGCAGACAGCCACGCAGAAACAGCAGAUAACAUAGAGACAACUUCUGCUAGAACCGUGGAGAGGAAGGUCACUUCCCACGAGAUUGUAGGAGUAGAGGACAAACUAGUUGUAAAGUCAGCUUCAGGCCACACAACUGUACAACAAUUAACUGCCCUUUUAGAACUAGUACACACAGCAAGUGGCCGCAGGUGCUUUAUUAAAUGCAUAUAUGACCCGUCGUGUCCAGUAAAUUUGCUAGGUAGAGACGCUCUGACAAAACUUAAGAUAGCAGUCAUGCCAUUCUUUUCUGGUAUUACACCUGAGUGCCAGAAACCGACCGAGUAUCACAACAUUCUGAGAUUUAAACAAACUCCAGGCCCAGAUCCACCUUAUGAUCAGCAAGUGUGGAAGCUAGGAGAACAGCAUUUGACCUUACAGCACAGGCCGAAGUUGUGUAGGUUACGCAGUAACCACAGAUAGUAAAAUAAUAGAAGCAAAACUACUUCCUCCUUCAUGUCCUGCACAGAGCGCUGAGCUGAUAGCUGUGAUACGCGAAAGCUAAAUACACAAAGACAAACUAAUAAACAUACAUACAGACAGCCAGUAUGUUUUCUCUGCUGUGCAUCAUUUUGCAAAAAAUUUGGCAUAACAGAGGAAUGAUUACACCAACUGGCAAACCAGCAUGCCAACCUCUUACAACGCCUACUGACUCUUUCAUUACUACAGGCAACAAUUUUGCUGACAGAGCAGCAAAAUAGGCGGCACAACAGGCAAACAUCACAUUGAUGGCAGUAAACACACAUCAGAUUCCACUGGAUGUGUUGAAAAAUGAACAAAAAGCAGCAAGCACAGCAGAGCAGGCAAAAUGGCUAAAACACGGUGCAGUUCUGACAAACGACUUAAUGAUGUGUUAUGGCAAGCCAGUGUUGCAAAAAAAAAAAAUUCCUCCACAAAAUGGCGGCAUUAGUGACUCAUGGCUGUACGCAUUUGUCAACGGGGGGACUGACCAGUAUUGUCAACUCUCAUUUCUACACUGUAAAUUCUACACUGUAAAUUUUGAAACCUCAGCAAAACAAUUUGUCAGAACGUGCAUGACGUGUCAAACAAAAAAUAAUAUAAAAGAGGCCGUUUUCCCACACCACCUUAUCUUUUUCACACAAUCCAUAUGGACUUUAUUGAGCUAAAUGAAUGCCAAGGGUAAAAAUACACCCUAGUGGUUAUAGAUGUAUUCUCAAAGUGGCCAGAAAUCUACCCAGUGAAAAAGGCAGAUACAAUUUCAGUAGCAAAAUGUAUGUCUAAGUUGUAGGAAAAUAAAGAGAUGAUUGUAAAUGACGAAGAAUGUAAUGAUGUCUAUCAAGUGUCUUGCAGAUCACAGCCCGGUGACUGGGUUCUGAUCAAGGUGCUCCAAAGGAAAAACUGGAGCACACCCAGGUGGGAGGGGCCAUACCAAGUCCUCCUCACUACACCGACCGCUUGCAAAAUUGCGGAACGACCAUCCUGGAUCCAUCAGAGUCACUGCAGGCGAGUCAGUGAAGCCAUCUAAACACAGCUGACGGCAGGCUUGCCCACUUGUUGUGAUCUCGCCCGGUGGAGGGGUCAGCUUUCCUGGCCGGGGGGUCUACUCGCGACAGGAGGGUGUGUCCCGUCGUCAUGAGGUGGUGGCUCCUAAUAACUGCAGCGGCCCUGACCCUGGCCGGGCUCCUCAUCUUUGCUUCCGUGAGGGACAACAAGUCACGAUAUAUGAAGAAAAGGCAGACACUGUAUGACAAAGGAAAGUACUCCAAGUUUCCCCAUGGCUACGCCACUAAUUUCUGGUGGCAGUUUAUGAACACUACAGCUCACUUGAAUAAUAAAACUGACUGCUAUGCAUGUACCCAUAUGCCCCUAUCCUCACAGACGUCUGGCCUGUGGCCAUACAGCAUACCUGAAGAUCGCAGUUGGUGCCUGUUGGGCCUGGCAACACACCCAGGCUACGGUACUCUUUGGUCCAAGGCCAACUACAGUAUCCCAGCUAAGGCAACCUGGAGGUCAUCAUCACCCACAAAUGUGAACUGUUCCGGACAGACCUACCUACUGACCUGGCCCCAAGUCUCAGACCCACUGCCUGAUGUAAUUCUACUAAACAGACUGAACGCAGCGCAACUGCCAGUAUGUGUGAUGAACAAUGGAUCGCGGGCAGUGGGGGAGCUGCCUACUCACCUAUCUACCGGAUGCCACUACAAACAAAGACUCAGUACCAGACAGGAUGUGCACGAACGGCACCAAGCAGUAAAGGAACCAGAGUUUCGCAUCUGAGGAGGAGUGAAAUUCUUACAGAGCUUGAUCCCCGGCAUUGGAGUUGCCGAGGUGCGGGAUCAUGUGGAAAUCAACCGAUAUGCUCUGCUACGACACAUCAACUUGACUAAGACCCUGGGAACCGCCUUAGCAGGAGAACAGCAGGCCAUCAGAACGAUGGUGCUGCAGAACAGACUGACUCUAGACCUGCUAACAGCAUCACAAGGAGGAGUUUGCAAGCUGAUCGAGGAAACAUGUUGCACUUUUAUCCCUGAUGGAUACGAAACUGGAGGAGACAUUUAUGAAGCUUUGCAGAAUUUGACCGCUCUGCAAAAAUAUGUCACUGACCACACACCUGGAGCAGCUACAGCACAAGGCUGGCUGGACUGGCUGUUCAGCGGUUCAUGGCUGGCUGCUGUAGCAAAGCCAUUUUUCCUUCUAGGUCUCAUUAUGAUAGCACUGCUCAUAUUAGUGUUGUGUGUGUUGCCAUGCCUAAGAGUAAUGAUUUCAAAGAUGAUAACAACUACAAUGACUGCUUAUGUUGCCGUGCCUGAAGAAGACCAGCAUCCCGUUGCAAUUCUGUUAGAGGAGAACUUGUAAUAACUGCUAAUGAAUGACGUGGUGAUUAAAAAUGACUUGUCAAGUGAUCACGCACUGAUUAAAACAUUAGUAGGUUAUGCAGGUUUUCAUCCUUUUAUUUUUUGAAGUUUUCAUCCUUGUAUUUUUUGAAGUUUUCAUUUUACAUAUUAGGUUUUCAUCAUUUUUAAAUACAAAGUUUUCAUUUUAGUUUUCAUCCUUUAUUUUUUGUAGUUUUAGUUUUAUUAUUUUUUCUUGUUUAUUCCACUUGUUAUUUCAUUUACUAUGUUUUUCUUUUUAUUAUUUUCUUUUGUUUUAUUCUUUAGACCAAAUGACUUCCAUUUCUGCUAUGCUGACAUUUUGAAAAUUAAAAAAUUGCUUAAGAUACUUAAUAAAUAACCUUCACAGACAAUUGUUGUAUACAUUUAAAAUAAGUUAAAACAGGAGGGAAUGUUACAGGAAAAAUGAUUCUAUGUUUCUUUACCUUCUUUUAAAUGUACAAAGAUGCCCUUUGUCUAUGGUUAGAUUAGUUUAGAAUUAUCCUUUAGACUUUCCCAGCAAAGACAUCUUGUUUCUGGGACAUAUUGUUUUAGAUUGUUUUAUCUUCCCUAGCUGUCUGCUGACGAGACUAGCACCAUAUAUGGAGUUGUUUUAUUUUAUCUGUUUAUUAUUUUCUUAUCCUGUUCUCACUGUCUUUCCUAUAAAAAUUACCAAGCCACUGUGCAUGGUGUGAGUUGUUCUUAGCAGCUCACCCGUGUACACGUUUGAUAAAGAAAGUAACUUUGUCUCAUUGUGUCUUUAUUUCUCCUGGGUUUUUUACAGAGUUUUCCCCCAACAAAGUUGAAUACAGUUGGUGAACAAAAGAAGGAAAUGAAAAAGUUUC